UUUAAUUGUGAUUGGUCCAUAGGGAGACAGUUUGUAGCAAGUUCUGUAAAGUUUGCUAUCAUGGAAGAAAUAGUAUGGAAUAAUGUGGAAGAAAUAGGAGUCAGAAGAUACAGAUGCAACAACAGAGAAACUAUAAUAAAUAUCAGUAAGUAGCCCAGAAGAGUUCUGUAUAUAUUUUAAGAAAGUCUUUAAUAAAAUCUUUUUUCCUUUAGCAUAUGCACUAUAAUAACAGUUAUUUCCAUUCCUCUGCUACUCGAAGGAUAUUUCAGUUGUGAAAAAUCACAGCUUAGAAAUUAAUCUGCCCCAUAUGAGUCUAGCAGCAUAAGUCAACAGUUACUCUUUUUGGACAAGUACAAGGAAAAGGUCAUGAAAGCAUUUCAGUGCAUUAACACUGCCAGAGGAACAGAGAAUCCUUGGAAUUCAAGGCUGAAGUGGAUACAGGAAGAUACAGGAGUCCAUCACUAACCUACUGCAGUGCGUCAGAUCUGAACAAGACAUUGGAACAAGUAAAGCAUGACUAUCACUUCAGCUUCUGUUUAUCUCCUCCUCAUUGGACCUUCCUGUGGACUUACCAGAACUCUAUCAAACAGUAUCACAAUAUCUACCUUUGCAUCCGGUAAAAGUGGGGGUCACAUUAAGACUGGCUGAAAUUCCAGCUUAUGAAAUAUACUGAGGUUUCAGAGCCUGUUCCAACAUGAACAAAACCAAUAUCAUCUGUAUUACAUGCAUGAAGAAACCAAACCUAUUCCAGGAGACCAAUAGGAAUUUUUUCUGUAACCUACAGAUUAGUAGCUCACCUUGGGAAAAAAGAGAGCCAUACUCAGCUCCCCUCAGAGAAUCAGGCAUUUGAAUUUGAGCUUAGCUCCUUCCAGAAUAUUCAAACAGAUGUGUCAUUUAACCUCCCUCACAAGACUGCACUUCCCAGGAUGGAGGAUGGUCCUGCUGUAUCUUGAACAUCCCCCUGGCUGCAGUGCAUAGCAAGAACAUAGCUCAGCUGGUAAAGCCAGCUGUGAGGAGGAGAAAUAGGGGAUAUUCCUUCCUAAUCCACUGUCUUAACUUAUUUUAACUAAAGUGUUCUGGUUUUGUUCAACAGUCCACAAGUUGCUCAAUUUGGACAUAUUUUAUCAGGGAAAAACAAAAAAGUUUGCUUUUUUGCUUAUAUUGUUAUAGAAAGACUAUCAUUUUAAAUAAAAGUCC
This 1197-nucleotide long non-coding RNA is filed under the name Gallus gallus (chicken). Lineage: Eukaryota; Metazoa; Chordata; Aves; Galliformes; Phasianidae. The record is from RNAcentral.